Ictidomys tridecemlineatus (thirteen-lined ground squirrel) is the source of this 546-nucleotide non-coding RNA. NCBI's taxonomy places the organism in Eukaryota, Metazoa, Chordata, Mammalia, Rodentia, Sciuridae. The record is from RefSeq and is a predicted model, not a curated record.
CCCAUUGACACACUCAAUCCCCUGCUGCUGGGAGGGCAAAACACAAAGGUUCUCCUUGAAUCCUGUAAGGACAAGGCUUGCAGCAUUUGAACUGGGACAUCAACUCUUCCUGGUUCCACAGCAGCCUGCUGGGCGUCAGACUCAACUGGGACAUGGGUGUUCCAGAUUUUGAACUUGAAAGCCUCUAUAAUCACGUUGAACCUAUUGUUUCUGCUUCUCUGAAGAACACGAAUAUAUGAGAAAACAAAGCAUUAUCAAUAACCAUUAUAGGUCCCUAUCUGAGCAAGAUAGACCUGUCAACCUAUGCCAGCUCCUGAGGAUGGUGCAACAGAAACAAUGUAGGAUCUGUCGGCCUCCUAACCCAGAAGAGGUUGCCUCCAUUACAGGAAGAAAAAUGUCACAUAUGUCUAAGGAUCACCCAAGUAGCCAUGGGGGCAGCAAUGGACCCAGGUUUUAUGGAAUUUUUUUGGGGGGGUGGAUUUUUUUUAAGAAAGUGAAAUUACAAAAUGUACAGAAAUACAUAUUCAUAAAAUAUAUUUAAACAUA